GCUCUCGUAGUUCAAUUGGAUAAAAUGUCAGAUUCCGGUUCUGAGGUUGCGGGUUCGAGUCCCGCCGAGAGUA
This 73-nucleotide transfer RNA is filed under the name Candidatus Onthomorpha intestinigallinarum. Its description in RNAcentral is "tRNA-Arg". It matches the Rfam family "tRNA". Rfam says of the family: Transfer RNA (tRNA) molecules are approximately 80 nucleotides in length. Lineage: Bacteria; Pseudomonadati; Bacteroidota; Bacteroidia; Bacteroidales. The record is from RNAcentral.